This 422-nucleotide long non-coding RNA is filed under the name Androctonus crassicauda. Lineage: Eukaryota; Metazoa; Arthropoda; Arachnida; Scorpiones; Buthidae. The record is from RNAcentral.
AGGUCCCAGCCCGCUCCCGUCCACGAACACAAACAAGACACGGACGGCGACAUAUGUGGACGGGACUUACUUGUGUUCCAGCGGGCUAGUGGACGAAUAUACCGGCUAGGAAUCAGCCGGCGAGGUCCCAGCCCGCUCCCGUCCACGAACACAAACAAGACACGGUCGGCGACAUAUGUGGACGGUACUUGUGUUCCAGCGGGCUAGGGGACGAAUAUACCGGCUAGGAGUCAGCCGGUCACGAAGACAAAGACGACACGGACGGCGAGAAGACAAAGACGACACGGACGGCGAUAGGAGACAGCCGGCGAGGUCCCAGCCCGCGCCCGUCCACGAAGACAAACAAGAGGGGACGAAUAUACCGGCUAGGAGACAGCCGGGGAGGUCCCAGCCCGCGCCCAUCCACGAACACAAACAAGACA